Small nucleolar RNA from Mesocricetus auratus (golden hamster), 78 nucleotides. Its record names the gene SNORD115. It matches the Rfam family "Small nucleolar RNA SNORD115". From Rfam's summary of the family: HBII-52 is a member of the C/D class of snoRNAs, which contain the C (UGAUGA) and D (CUGA) box motifs. HBII-52 is encoded in a tandemly repeated array with another C/D snoRNA, HBII-85, in the Prader-Willi syndrome (PWS) region of chromosome 15. The record is from Ensembl. NCBI's taxonomy places the organism in Eukaryota, Metazoa, Chordata, Mammalia, Rodentia, Cricetidae.
GGGUCUAUGAUGACAAACUAAAGGCAUGAAGAGAGGUGAUGGCAAAAUAUCAUGCUGAGGUUGAGGCUGAUGGGGCCC